This 237-nucleotide ribosomal RNA is filed under the name uncultured bacterium. Its description in RNAcentral is "partial 16S ribosomal RNA". It matches the Rfam family "Bacterial small subunit ribosomal RNA", at positions 15 to 235 of the family's 1533-position model. The record is from RNAcentral.
GAUCAUGGCUCAGGACGAACGCUGGCGGCGUGCUUAACACAUGCAAGUCGAACGAGAAUCUACUGAAGGAGUUUUCGGACAACGGAAGCAGAGGAAAGUGGCGGACGGGUGAGUAACGCGUGAGGAACCUGCCUUGAAGAGGGGGACAACAGUUGGAAACGACUGCUAAUACCGCAUGACGCAUAGAGGUCGCAUGAUCUUUAUGCCAAAGAUUUAUCGCUUCAAGAUGGCCUCGCG